This 422-nucleotide ribosomal RNA is filed under the name uncultured bacterium. RNAcentral describes it as "bacterial SSU rRNA". It matches the Rfam family "Bacterial small subunit ribosomal RNA", at positions 28 to 441 of the family's 1533-position model. The record is from RNAcentral.
GAUGAACGCUGGCGGCGCGCCUAAUACAUGCAAGUCGAGCGAGAAGACGUAGCAAUACGUUUGUAAAGCGGCGAACGGGUGAGGAAUACAUGGGUAACCUACCCUCGAGUGGGGAAUAACUAGCCGAAAGGUUAGCUAAUACCGCGUACGCUUCUUGGACUUCGGCUCAGGGAGGAAAGCGAUACCGUGGGUAUCGCGCUCUUGGAUGGGCUCAUGUCCUAUCAGCUUGUUGGNGAGGUAACGGCUCACCAAGGCUUCGACGGGUAGCUGGUCUGAGAGGACGAUCAGCCACACUGGCACUGCGACACGGGCCAGACUCCUACGGGAGGCAGCAGUAAGGAAUAUUGCGCAAUGGGCGAAAGCCUGACGCAGCGACGCCGCGUGGGGGAUGAGGGUCUUCGGAUUGUAAACCCCGUUUCGGG